UACGUAGGGGGCAAGCGUUGUCCGGAAUCAUUGGGCGUAAAGCGCGUGUAGGCGGCCAGAAAAGUCCGCUGUGAAAACUCGAGGCUCAACUUCGAGCUGUCGGUGGAAACUUUCUGGCUAGAGUCCGGAAGAGGAGAAUGGAAUUCCUGGUGUAGCGGUGAAAUGCGCAGAUAUCAGGAAGAACACCAAUGGCGAAGGCAGAUCUCUGGGCCGUAACUGACGCUGAGGAGCGAAAGCAUGGGGAGCGAACAGG
This 253-nucleotide ribosomal RNA is filed under the name uncultured bacterium. RNAcentral describes it as "partial 16S ribosomal RNA". It matches the Rfam family "Bacterial small subunit ribosomal RNA", at positions 524 to 776 of the family's 1533-position model. The record is from RNAcentral.